ACUCCUACGGGAGGCAGCAGUGGGGAAUAUUGCACAAUGGGCGCAAGCCUGAUGCAGCAACGCCGCGUGAGCGAAGAAGGUCUUCGGAUCGUAAAGCUCUUUUCUUAGGGAAGAAAAAUGACGGUACCUAAGGAAUAAGCACCGGCUAAAUACGUGCCAGCAGCCGCGGUAAUACGUAUGGUGCAAGCGUUAUCCGGAAUCACUGGGCGUAAAGGGUGCGUAGGCGGUUUUGCAAGUCAGAAGUGAAAGGCUACGGCUCAACCGUAGUAAGCUUUUGAAACUGCAAGACUAGAGUGCAGGAGAGGUAAGUGGAAUUCCUAGUGUAGAGGUGAAAUUCGUAGAUAUUAGGAGGAACACCAGUGGCGAAGGCGACUUACUGGACUGUAACUGACGCUGAGGCACGAAAGCGUGGGGAGCGAACAGGAUUAGAUACCCUGGUAGCACAGAG
RNAcentral lists this ribosomal RNA (448 nucleotides) under uncultured bacterium. RNAcentral describes it as "bacterial SSU rRNA". It matches the Rfam family "Bacterial small subunit ribosomal RNA", at positions 335 to 799 of the family's 1533-position model. The record is from RNAcentral.